Molecule: ribosomal RNA, 601 nt
Filed under: uncultured Pseudomonadota bacterium
Lineage: Bacteria; Pseudomonadati; Pseudomonadota
Description: bacterial SSU rRNA
Rfam family: Bacterial small subunit ribosomal RNA
Source: RNAcentral
UCCCUUCGGGGAUGAGUACAGCGGCGGACGGGUGAGUAACACGUAAGAAUCUGCCCUAUAGUGAGGAAUACCCUCGAGAAAUUGAGGUUAAUACUGCAUAAGUCCCUGCGGGGAGAAAGGCGUCUUUUAUGUCGCCGCUAUAGGAUGAGCUUGCGGACUAUCAGCUUGUUGGUGAGGUAAAAGCUCACCAAGGCUAUGACGGUUAACCGGCCUGAGAGGGUGUACGGUCACAUAGGCACUGAGACACGGGCCUGACUCCUACGGGAGGCAGCAGUGGGGAAUAUUGCGCAAUGGGCGAAAGCCUGACGCAGCGACGCCGCGUGGAGGGUGAAGGUCUUUGGAUUGUAAACUCCUGUCAGAUGGAAAGAAAGGUUUGUGUUUAAUAGACGCAAAAUAUGACGGUACCAUCAGAGGAAGCACCGGCUAACUUCGUGCCAGCAGCCGCGGUAAUACGAAGGGUGCAAGCGUUAUUCGGAAUCACUGGGCGUAAAGGGUGUGUAGACGGUACAUUAAGUUCGUCGUUAAAGGCUCCGGCCUAACUGGAGUAUUGCGAUGAAAACUGGUGAGCUAGAGGGUGAGAGAGAGAAGUGGAAUUCCCGGA